This is a non-coding RNA of Ictidomys tridecemlineatus (thirteen-lined ground squirrel), 5610 nucleotides long. Lineage: Eukaryota; Metazoa; Chordata; Mammalia; Rodentia; Sciuridae. The record is from RefSeq and is a predicted model, not a curated record.
UCUCCCCUGCCCGGCAACGGGUAACUUUUCAUUAGAGACACAGAUGUCUUAAUAACGCGAUGCCAGGCCCUCCCAUGGCAGCUCCAGCAUCCCCUCCACUGCACUGCAGACAGAUGUGAAGAGGGGGCAAAGCGGUGAGGGGCUGAAAGGCGGCCACAGCCCAGCAGGGUUUCCAUCUCCAGGCCCCAAAUAUCUGCUGUCAGCUUUGCCCAGGCUUUGCCAGCUGCCGCCACCUCCCAAGCUCAGGGUGGCUUUCCAGCACUGUACCCUCUCUGGCAGGGCUAACUAGUGGCCCUCACUUCAGCAGCUCUGGGGCUAUGCCCUUGACUUUCCCUAGCCUCCAAUUCUCUCCCCCAGAGCGAGUCUGCAGACCCAAGUUCACCACCUGCCCAUUGCCAGUCCUCAUGGGGGACAAUGGCCCUCCAGCCCCAUGGCUAAUAGAGUUUCCAUAUCUUCUGUGGGCCUGGGUCACUAUUUCUUGGUUUAAACAUGUCCUGGCUGCACCACUUUCCCCGUGGACAGUCCACUGAGGUGCAGUGCUGUUGGCACCUCACUUAAGGCGCUUAGAACCCUUGGUCCUGGGUAGAGUUGUUUUUUGAGUGCCUCUCCCACUACUCUUCCCUGGGCACCGUCAGAGUGUGAGCACUACCUGUAUCCCCUCCACUCCCUCCGGACUCCUACAGGCUGUGGGGUCUGCUCUGCACCCUUCUAAUUGCGCCCACACUUUAUGUGUGGCAGGUGUUCAUUGGAGAGGUGUGGACAAUGAGUGACAGUGUCCUGGUGUCCUCCAUUAGUUGUCUGUCAUUUUUAGAUUAGUAGCUCUUUCUCUGGGCUCCUCUUGUAAAACACAAAGCCCCCUGAGGGUUUGGGUCAGUGAGGGGUCCUUAUCUCACAGUGUGAAUCUGUCACCUGGUGGUUUCCUGCCUGGGGCGAGGGAGGCAACUGGACUAGUAGGGGUGCUAAAGGCCAAUUCAGCUGAUCUCUUGAUUGACUGGGGCCAGACCUCCUCACCAGGGUGUGAGGACUCCAAAUCGCACACAACAGGGCCAAACCCAGUUCUGAUGCCCACAGCGGCACAAGAGAAAGGAGGCUUGCAUGGCUCAUUCUGCCUUUGAAACUCUCCAGGGUUCAUGGUGUCAAAUGGAAAUCACCCAGCCUGGGGUCCAAGGCCCUCCUGGCCUCCUCCAGUCAGUCUUACCCAUCUAACUCCACUUGCUCCAACCACAUCCUGCUCUCCUGUUGACCUGUUCCCUUCAUGGACACCAGCAAUUUUGUCUUGCAUUUCCUGGGAGUCUUUGUUCUACCUAAGUCCACCUUUGGAUACCUCUCUCUGUUCUAGUCUGUCUAGGUAAAUCUAUCUCAUGGCCUUAUCCUGGCUUGUCUGUGUGGGUGAGUUCUUUUUCUCCAAUCACAAGUGCAAGAUGACAGUGCCUCCAAUUUCUUACGUUGACCCAGCAGAGAUACAUUUGGAUGGCCUUGUGGGAUGUGAGGUUGGAAGUUCCUCUGCUUCCCUCUUUCAGCUCCCUACAACAGCUGAAACCACCUCAACACCUGGCCUCAGAUUCCUUGUGCAGCCCCAAGGGGGCAACCUGCCAGCCCAAGUCAGUACAGCAUGUGCCACAAGUCUGGAAGAAUGUGUGGUUUGAGAAUGGAAGAUCCAAAUUCUUGUCCUAGCUCUGCUGCCCUUUCUCCAUCUGUAAAUUUUUGGCUAUUUGGAACAUGCUUCAAGAUGGUGGCUGUCAAUAGGCUUUGGAAAGAAUUUAAAACAGGCAAACAAACAACUAAAAGAGCAGGGUGCAUCAUGGGUAAAGGCUGGUGGAGUGAAUGUAGCUGCCCUCCCUUGCCAGUGCCCUUUGUAAUAGACAGCAUGGAGGAGGCGGGUGACUGGACAGAACUAAGGUCAUUGAGUCAGUAGUUGGGGUCAGUCUGGGAUGAGGGAUUUGGCUCCCCCCCCCCAUUCCUGUGGGGUCUUGCUGACAGCAUUGCCAAAUCACCAAAUGUGUUCCUCGCAGACAGCUUCCUAAAGGAAGCCAAGAACCCAUCUACCUCCGGAGCAUGGCACAGGCAAACGUGCCCUGCUCAUGUCUUUUGUUUUUCUUAAUUAAAGUAGCAAGAGCCAGGAUUCCGUCUCUGAAGGUGCAGCCUCGGGUCUGGAUGUCUUCAUUCUGGCUGUGCCAUUGGUGUGCCUGCCUGUGUUGGCAGCUGGACACAUGGCCUCGGGGGCCUCACAGGGAGAAGCCCAGUUUUAGCUGGGGUAGAGCUGAGUCAAGGCUUGAACCCUGGUCUGUCUCAGAGCCCCGCACCUGCCAGGAAUCCUGGGUUGAGACCUCUGGAGGCCCUUUGGAUGUACUUUGUUCUGACACAAGAGCAUCUAUUACAUCAGGAAUUGUCCUGGAGGAUACCUUUCCCAAGCUUCAAAACUCACAGGAGAUGUUCACAGUUGUUCUUCAUUCAGGAAUACUUGAACACCAGCAUGAUACCAGGUAUUCUAUGGGGGCUUUUACUAACAGGCUGGACAACAGUUGGUCUAGAAGACCCCCCAAACAGAAGCACAAAACAUCUAAGACAGAUCCACCAGUCAUUGGCCACUAACCCAGAGCUGCAUGCAGUCCCUCUCAGGACUGGAAGCAGGACAAGGGUUCGUUACUCCAGAGGGGAGAAACAAGGUCUUGACUCAAAAAGACACUUGCCCACCCAAUUGGCAACGUGCUCUUGGGCAAACCAACUCAGCUCUUAUGGCUUAACUGUCCCCAAGCACAUCCACUUCCAGCUAUGCCCUGGCUCAGAUGUUCCCUGAUGCUCUGCCUCUCCCCGAUGCUGAUGACUGUCACUGGUGUAGGCCAUCUGGGAGAAGAGAUACGAGUGGGAAAGCAAACUGGUGAGAUGUUUUAUGCAUUAGCUGGGUUAGCUCUGGACACCCAAAUUACCCAUUCAAACACUUUCCCAGGUGUUGCUGCAAUGGAAUUUUGUAGAUGCAGUUAACACCUAUAAUCCACAUCUAUAAUUAGUUGACUAUAGGUAAAGGAGAUCAUUUUUAAUGUGGGUGGGCCUUAUCCAAUCAGUUGAAAGGUCUUAAAAACCAAAACCAAGAUUUCCUUGAAAAAGAAGAAAUUCUGCCUCUAGACUACAGCAUCAACUUGGGCCUGAGAAUGUGUCUUGCUGAUCUACCCUACAGAUUCUGGACAGGCUGGUUACCCACAAUCAUGUGAACUGAUUCCUUGAAAUCUAUUAACUAUCUGUCUGUUUACCUAUCUAUCUACUGUCUAUCAAUCUAAAUAUUUCUUCUCUGAGAAUCCUGACUGAUACACCUGGGUUCCGGGACAUUUCUAAAUAAAUGUAUUUGCAGCCUUCAUGUUUUUUCCAGGAAAUGUGACUGGUUGGUCUGCUGAUUUCUGUUAAGUGGAGAAGAAUCACUUGCAGUUAGGUGUAUUCCUCCGUCUCCAAACCAUUGACUGAAACCCUUGAAACAGUCUUUUCUUCAAUCAAGUGACUGCCCAGCCCCAGUUUUUCAAAUCAGGUGUCAUGUUCCCAACCCACCAUGCCUGCUGGAUUCAUAAAGACAAUCUGGAUUCCAGGAUCUCAGGCCUGGAUUGGGUGAGCUUCACUGGAAUCUAUAUUUUUUUUGAAAAACUAGACCGGUGUCUACUUUACUGUUCUGAGCAGAUGAUGUUCUUUGUUUAUGAGAGAAAUUAGGCCAAAUCCAACUUUUCCACAGAUGGAGAAGCCUGAAUUAUUUAUCAGAGGCUCAUGAAUUUGGUUCUGGCAAAUGGCAGGGCUGAGGGUGGCUGAUUUGUGUUCCACUGUCAGAACAGCUUGAUCCCAGCAGGUCCUGGGCUGUUCUGACACAGGGUUGGGUCUGGCAGGGGCCCCAAGGGCUGGCUCUGGAUACGGGGUAGAUGGGGGACCCUUCCUUGGCUGCUUCUGCUGGGCUCCACUGGUUCCCGGAGUGCUGUGCAGCCAGGCCUUGGCCAGGGCCGUGAAUGGCCGGUGGCUCACCUGGGCUUCACUGAGCUCUUGCUGGAGCGCUGGGUGACUGCAGUGGGAGAAGGGAAGUGCGAUGGAGAGGGCAGUGUUCAUCAAACUUCCCUCCCCCGCUAGACAGUCCUUUCUUUUCUAAUGGAACCACAAGGCCAGUUGGUGAAAACUGGGGGUGGUUGGCUGUGUCUAGCAUCUCAGCAAAUGCCUAUCAUGUAAAGGUCUAUUUCUAGGCUUCUGAUGAGCACAGCAUCAUCAUGGAAGAAAGAGUGAGCUCUGCUCUUAUUGGGGAAGGUCUCAGGAAAGUGCCUUUCACAGUGUGAUCUGAUGGUCAUUAGUAUGUAUUUAUUUAUUUAUUUAUUUUGGUGGUGCUGGGGAUUGAAUCCAGGGCCUUGUGCAUGCGAGGCAAGCACUCUACCAACUGAGCUAUAUCCUCAGCCCCUAAUACUAACUCUUACAGACUGAGCACGGGUCUUGGGUUGUCCAUGAAUUAGCUCAUUUGCUUUUCAGAAUAGCCCUAUAAAAGUGCUACGGACAAUGCAACCAAGGAACAGGAGCAUUCAGGAGCUUGUCCAAGAUUUCCUAGCCAGCGAACCACAGAGCUCAGCUCAGACAGCGCGCCUCCCCUGAUAGGACACGGAUGCACGAGUUCCCAGGCAUCUGCAAUGGGCCAGAAAGCCUUCUGCCUUUGAGACGCUUUUAUUUGAAUGGAGAGAAAGAAAAGGAUGUCCUUUCUACCCAAUCACACACAGACGCAGGCUCUCACCUCCCUGGGAGCUACAGGGUUUUACUCAACCCAAAAGGAUCUGGGGACAUUGCGUGUUAAGUCCUUAGUUGCCUUGAUCUGGGGCAUGGAGAGAUCUUUAAGGAAGUCUGGGCUGGAUUCUAGGAAUUUCUGCCUGUUGGGUAUAUCCUUCUCUGGCCACACAGUCUUCUGUCUCCUUGGGGCUGCUGGCCUGAAAAUCUAGUUCCAAAUAUGCCAGCAGUUUGCUGGUGGCCUGGAACAAAUCUGUGUACUUCUCUGGGUCUCCAGCUCUCCUGCUGCAUCCCCAGGCAUGUGCACUUCUUGUCUGGGUUUCUUUCUGUUUUUUUUUUUUUUCUAGGGCCACCUGGAGGGGACCUGCCCCUUCUGGUGUUGAAGCUGUAUAACAAAUGAUCAUGUGGGAAUGAGCCAGGAGGCUGCUGAGGUGAGCCUUUAAGUGUUUGGUUUGAACCAUUUUAAUUUGCAUUCAAGUUUAAUUACCAUCCAUCUCUAAGGUUGCCCACAUGGGAGAAGAGGCAUUUGGGUCCCAAAGAUUCUUGCUCCUGCUUCUAAAUGCUCCUUCUACUGUAUGUGCCUGGAGUGUCUGCCAGCUCCCCUCCUCCAUGGGCUCAUUUCCUUCCAGGGUUUCAGAUUAGAGACCCCCCCCCCCAAACAGCUGCCCCUUCUCUAACCCCUUCCUUCUGAAUUCCACAGGACUGCACCCUCCUCUUCUAUGUUCUCCUUCCUAAUCCUUCCAUCUCAGAGGAGGCAGAUGGGGAGUGGGUGUGGGGGACAGUUGGGGUAGAAGCUUUUUUGUCAUUCCUAAUUUAGGCAAAGAGCCAGGGUCUGGAUGUGGAAGAGAGACAAUAAAUAAAAGUUCAAGCCAAAGGAAA